AAAGGGCCGUAUUUAUUAAAUAUCAACCAAUAUUCAUCUGGUAUUGUGGUGACUCAUAGUAACUUAAUCGGAUCGCAUGGGCUUGCCCCGCGACCAACCCUUUAAGUUUCUGCCCCAUCAUGCUUUCGAUGGUAGUGUAUUGGACUACCAUGGCUUUCACGGGUAACGGAGGAUUAGGGUUCGAUUCCGGAGAGGGAGCCUGAGAAACGGCUACCACUUCCACGGAAGGCAGCAGGCGCGUAAAUUACCCAAUCCUGAUUCAGGGAGGUAGUG
Molecule: ribosomal RNA, 273 nt
Filed under: uncultured Spirotrichea
Lineage: Eukaryota; Ciliophora; Spirotrichea
Description: partial small subunit ribosomal RNA
Rfam family: Eukaryotic small subunit ribosomal RNA
Source: RNAcentral